UCUCUGUGAUUAGCAAGCAGAUGACGAGUCCGAUAUAACCCAUUCCGUUAUAGUGUUAUACCAUUAGGACAAUCGAGGCAUUUGUCUGAGAUAA
Molecule: non-coding RNA, 94 nt
Organism: Zea mays
Lineage: Eukaryota; Viridiplantae; Streptophyta; Magnoliopsida; Poales; Poaceae
Source: Rfam